RNAcentral lists this ribosomal RNA (988 nucleotides) under Pleosporales sp. Its description in RNAcentral is "SSU rRNA". It matches the Rfam family "Eukaryotic small subunit ribosomal RNA", at positions 109 to 1105 of the family's 1831-position model. The record is from RNAcentral. Lineage: Eukaryota; Fungi; Ascomycota; Dothideomycetes; Pleosporales.
GUUAUCGUUUAUUUGAUAAUACCUUACUACUUGGAUAACCGUGGUAAUUCUAGAGCUAAUACAUGCUAAAAACCCCGACUUCGGGAGGGGUGUAUUUAUUAGAUAAAAAACCAAUGCCCUCCGGGGCUCCUUGGUGAUUCAUAAUAACUUCUCAGAUCGCAUGGCUCCAUGCCGGCGACGGUUCAUUCAAAUUUCUGCCCUAUCAACUUUCGAUGGUAAGGUAGUGGCUUACCAUGGUUUCAACGGGUAACGGGGAAUUAGGGUUCGAUUCCGGAGAGGGAGCCUGAGAAACGGCUACCACAUCCAAGGAAGGCAGCAGGCGCGCAAAUUACCCAAUUCCGACANUGGAGAGGUAGUGACAAUAAAUACUGAUACAGGGCUCUUUUGGGUCUUGUAAUUGGAAUGAGUACAAUUUAAACCUCUUAACGAGGAACAAUUGGAGGGCAAGUCUGGUGCCAGCAGCCGCGGUAAUUCCAGCUCCAAUAGCGUAUAUUAAAGUUGUUGCAGUUAAAAAGCUCGUAGUUGAACCUUUGGCCUGGCUGGCAGGUCCGCCUCACCGCGUGCACUUGUCCGGCCGGGCCUUCUCUUCUGGAGAACCGCAUGCCCUUCACUGGGUGUGUUGGGGACCAGGACUUUUACUUUGAAAAAAUUAGAGUGUUCAAAGCAGGCCUUUGCUCGAAUACGUUAGCAUGGAAUAAUAGAAUAGGACGUGCGGUCCUAUUUUGUUGGUUUCUAGGACCGCCGUAAUGAUUAAUAGGGACAGUCGGGGGCAUCAGUAUUCAAUUGUCAGAGGUGAAAUUCUUGGAUUUAUUGAAGACUAACUACUGCGAAAGCAUUUGCCAAGGAUGUUUUCAUUAAUCAGUGAACGAAAGUUAGGGGAUCGAAGACGAUCAGAUACCGUCGUAGUCUUAACCAUAAACUAUGCCGACUAGGGAUCGGGCGGUGUUUCUAUUGUGACCCGCUCGGCACCUUACGAGAAAUCAAAGUG